GGGUAGAUUAGCAUGGCCCCUGUGCAAGGAUGACAUGCAAUUUCGUGAAGCGUUCCAUCAUUCU
RNAcentral lists this small nuclear RNA (64 nucleotides) under Podiceps cristatus (great crested grebe). Lineage: Eukaryota; Metazoa; Chordata; Aves; Podicipediformes; Podicipedidae. The record is from RNAcentral.